Long non-coding RNA from Bubalus bubalis (water buffalo), 3827 nucleotides. RefSeq lists it as uncharacterized. The record is from RefSeq and is a predicted model, not a curated record. The transcript has 3 exons. Lineage: Eukaryota; Metazoa; Chordata; Mammalia; Artiodactyla; Bovidae.
GAUGGAAAAUAAUUAAGAAGAGACAUCAGGGGUAAGGGGCGGGGUUAUGCUGGCUAAACAGACAACAGGAUUCUUGCUGAAGGCAGCCCAGGGUGAUGAGACGUCUGAUCAAUAUGGUCAGACAUGGAGGGUGGAGGAUUCUCCGUGAACUGAUUUGUCUGGAUUCCUGCUCAAGGUGGGCCACACAGGUCUAACAGGGAUGAGGCAUAUUUGGGGAAAGCCCAUGAGGAGCCUGACUGCAACCUGGUUGAGGAGGGAGACUUUAUCACACAGGGAACCAGUCCUCCUCUGGAAAAUACUGACCCAUGGGAUAUCAAGAGAGACGGGCAGAGGAGACUGUGAGUUGCAUGUAAAGCAGCUCUUCAGAUCGUUGCUGUCCAGAGAGAUGGAAAUCAGAUGAAAAACAACGUGGCCUGGCCGUGUUGAAGUGGUUGAGCUGAAGCUGGUCCAGCCUGAGCUCAGCUUCAGUUCCAUUUUCUGAGAAGCUCCGUGACCUUGAUGCAUAUCUGUCUGACACACCCAAAGCUGCUUCAUCGCAGGGUGUCUUGAGCCCAGUUUGGCUCAAGAUGGUGUUGAGUGUGUCUUGGUCAAACGAUACGCUAAAAGCCGGCUGGGGCUGCUUGAGAGGUUAAUCAAGAGAGACAAAGUGUAAGCUUCCAGAGGGCACACAAGAAGUGUGCCGUAUCCACAUCAUAUAAAGAACCUGGUGAGGCUUCCCUGCUUGCUCAGUGGUAAAGGAUGCAGGAGACACAUUUUUGAUCUCUGAUACGGGGUCCCACAUGCUGCUGAGCAAUUAAGUCUGUACCACAACUACUGAGCCCAUGCUCAGAACCCAGGAUCCACAACUACUGAGCCCUUGUACUGAAGCUACUAAAGCCAGCUUGCUCUAGAGCCUGUGCUUCGCAACAAGAGAAGCCACCUCAAUGAGCAGUCUGAGCACCUCACCUGGAGAGGUUGAGAGCCCCUGCUCUGCACAACUAGAGAAAAGCCUGCAGAGCAACAAAGACCCAGAACAGCCAAAAAUAAAUAAAAUUAAAACAAAGAAUUUGGUGGAUAUAAAAAAAUUUACAGAAGCAAAGCUUUCCCCCAUAAACUGUAUCCCAGAGCUUGGUCUGUAGAAGGCCAAUAAAUCCUUGCUGAGCAACUCAGGAUUUGGGGCUGGUGAUGUGGGAGAUUCCAUUCAACACAGGUAACUGGGAGGCCACAACAAACAGCCCAAGAGGAGGAGCUUCUCGGUGACACAGAUUGCACGUGUGGCCCAAGAUACCCAGGGGUUGUGGAUGGGGCAUUCAGUCAUCAGUAAACAAAAGAUAGGCAGCCACAUCCUCAGAACAGUGCUUAGCUCCUCUUCACAGGCAUCCACUGGAUGCUGAAGGCAUGUCAAGCCAUCCAGGUGAAGGCCACCAGGAACACACCUGUGCUUAGACAAGAGGGUUAAUUACCAGCUUCAGGGAGAGAGACCACACCAUGGGGAACUGGGUAUCCCAGUAUAAGAGGGUGUUAGAAAGAGUCUGCUGUAGGAUUUGGGCUCCUGUUAGGUGAUCUAGGGGAGGGUCUAUAGGAACCAGUUUCACUCUUGUUGCUCUUGCUGUUCAGUUGCUCAGCUGUGUCUGACCCUUUGCAACCCCAUGGAGUUUAGCAUACCAGGCUUCCCUGUUGUUCACUGUUUGAGUUUGCUCAAACCCAUGUCCAUUGAGCUGAUGAUGCCAUGCAGCCAUCGCAUCCUCUGCAGUCCCCUCCUCCUGCCCUCGAUCUUUCCCAGCACCAGGUUUGCUGUAGCCUGGGUAUUGCUGUGAAGCAGCGGCACUUCUAGGAGCAGGAAUCUCAAUACCCGUUACCUCCAGGGAGAGCAGCUUAAAAAGCCAGGAAAAGCGGGAACUGCUCAUGAUGUACCAGUGACUUAUUUGGAAGGAUUGUGGGGUUGGCAUGUCCUGUGUGACCUAAUGUGGGUGGAUGUUCAGAGAUGAUUUAUGACCAAUGGGAGGAUGCAUGGCUGGGCUGGAAGCAUCAGGUCAGCUCAUGAUGAAGCCUGAGGCCAAGAUGUAAGAUCAUCACUAGUUCCCGGUCGCAGUGGGGGUGGGGGUUGCUUGCUUUCUCAGAUGUCAUUGAAGAAGUCAAGAAAGGAGCUGGAGACCCCUGGCUCCCCAUUUUCCUACUCGGGCUGAGGAAGUGACUUAAACCAGACAGCCGCAAACUCUGAGUCUCAUUAGCAUUCCCCUCCUCCCUUCCAUCUGUAAGACGAUGGACCCUCAGGUCAAGACUGUUUGUUCCUCUGCAGGCUGGAACACUCAUCUCCUAGGACUGUCCUUUGUUAGGAGAGAAAAAGGUCACUUCUCUAAAUGGGUUUACAUGAGCUGGAAAUAAGAGGACUUUAAGAUGUAGCCAAAUAGGUGUACAUAUUUUAAAAGUGAAUCACACUUAUGCCAGUUCACGGAGACAAAAAGUCUGUUUUCCUUACAGCCACCCAUCUAUGUAUCUUAAAUUACUGGAUGCUAAAUGGGGUCAUAUAGCAUUUCACUCGACAGCUACUUUUCAACUCUAACGUUGAGUGACAUGUGAAGAAAUUCUGAAUGGGAAUAUAUUUGGUGAAAAGGGUUCAAGUAUUUUAAAUAUUAGACUGUUUAAAUACAGCAAACAUCUGUAAAUGUAGAGCAUGUAACAGGCACAGAGCAAAAAAAAAUGUGUUCAUUGCUUCCGUUAAGUCAACAUGCUUUCUCCUCUUAGAUCAAUUACAAGGAAGGACAGACUCAAUUAUUUGAAACUCUUUUUAUCAGAUUGUAGAAGUAAGCCAUUCCCACUGUAAAAAUGUUUGGAAUAAUAAAAAGGAAAGAGAAAUAAAUAAAAAUCGCCACCUGGAGACAACCACUGUUCGUGAUCUGGGUCUUUCAUUCAUUCAGCAAAUACUUAGCAAUACCUUGUAGUAGAUAUAGGACUAGUGGCUGGAAAGACACAGACAAAUAAAACAAUCUUUGGCCUCAAGAAUCUCAUAGCUCCAUGGGCCAAGUAAGUAGGGAAUUACAAUGUCUUUGGUGUGUGCCAUGGCAAAUGUUGUCAUACGGCAUUAUGGGAACAAGGAGGACACAACUCCACCCCACCCCCAUAGAUGUGGGUGUGUGAUGGGGUGGGGUAGAAAUGAAGCCCUCUUCAAGAGGGAGUUCUUUUUGAACAAUCUAGAAAUAAAGACAGAAAGAAGGAAAGAGAGAGUACACAAUCUCUCCUUCCAAGAGUAACCAGGUGCAGGCGUUUUACGCUGGCUCUGAUUCUGUUGCACAGAUGUCCUGUUACUGGCUCUGACAAGUUUGCAAGGUCUCUCUGUUGAUCAGAAUUAUGGAUUUCCCAGGAGCACUGUUUCUAUGACCUGUGUCCUUAUAUACUAACCCAGUAAGUUGAAGACAUGUAACCAUAAUGGUUCAUGCUGAGCUAUUCAGGAAGAAUAUUAGGGAUCUGGAUAUGAUAACCAAGGGCCUUAGGAUUCUGAAUUUAUUAUAUUUUUUCUAAUAGAGCAGUUUGUUGAGUUGCAGGCUGGGAGAGGAAGGGGAGACUGAAACAGCAUGUACAUGCUCACACACACACUUAGACACACACGUGACUUCAGAAGAAUCCCCUCCUAUUGUGUCUUAGGUCCCUUCUGUCCACCGCCCUCUUGCCCUUUUCCUAAUUUUGCCUUUAUAAUUGCCGCUGUUCAUCAGGGUCCCUUCGAGGAGCCAGUCCCCAGAAGAUGCUCUUUGCAGGCAGAUAUUCAUCGAGCUCCAUUUGUCAAGGUGGAGGCAUCCCCAGGGAGGCAGUGAUUACAAGAGAAAUCUGCAAAAGACAAGACUGCAUCUGUC